CCCUCUGGUGGUAUUGACUGAAGCUGAAUGGUUAACAGGACAGUUGUCAGUUUUAAGAAAAGUAUAUUGAAAUCUAAUCAUAAAACCAAAAGUUUAACACUUCAACAUAUAAUGGUAUUAAAGCCACUCUUGAAUAACAAAUGUUAACAGCUUUAAAAAUAGCAAGACAACCUGUCAUAUAAAUAAUCUCUGAUCGGAUUUAAUAUUAAAAAUAAAACUGUUCAGAGCUAUUAUAGAAUACAUAUCAGGAAAAAUCACUAAGUGUUUACUCACAGAAGUGGUGGAAUCAGUUUCAUGGCUGUUUCCAACAUCCACCUGUUGUUCAGAAGGGUUGAUGUCAACCUGCACCUAAGAAUUAAAAGGUUAUAAUCAAAGAAUAUGAGUACACAGUAUAUUUAUUGUAGUGUAGAAUAUUUCAUGGUUAAAGUCCAUAAAAGGUUUUCCCACUGUGCUCACAAGUAAGUGUGUGUGUGUGUGUGUGUGUGUGUGUGUAAGUCACAGCUUUGUUUUUAGAGGUCACGAGACAAAAAGGGAAAAGAACACAUACCAUGGAUAAAUCACAGUUUAACAGUUCAUUUAGAUGUGUACUUACAGAAGUAGCAAUAUAAGUUUGGUCUCCAUACACCACAACUCUGUUCACAGGAGUAGGGUCGGUCACACACUGUACCUAAAUGAUAAUAAACAGAGAAUAUGAGUAUACAUUAUCUUUGUGUGUACUGAGUAUGCGUGUGUGUAAAACCUGAAUAAUUAAAUGUGACUACAUUACUGAUAUGCUAUGAUAACCUCUGGUUACCCAGUGACUU
This is a long non-coding RNA of Scomber scombrus (Atlantic mackerel), 803 nucleotides long. RefSeq lists it as uncharacterized. The transcript has 3 exons. The record is from RefSeq and is a predicted model, not a curated record. NCBI's taxonomy places the organism in Eukaryota, Metazoa, Chordata, Actinopteri, Scombriformes, Scombridae.